RNAcentral lists this long non-coding RNA (1045 nucleotides) under Homo sapiens (human). RNAcentral's name for it is "HSALNT0305992". Lineage: Eukaryota; Metazoa; Chordata; Mammalia; Primates; Hominidae. The record is from RNAcentral.
ACUCCCAGGUGACCCCCGCAAGAAACGCGGUCCGGAGAGGGUCUGGCCCCACUGCUGGGGCAAGGGCUCUAGGCGCCCGGACCCCACGCCCGCAGCCUGCGGAGAACGUGCCGACAAGGACCUGUAGGGCCCCACUCCCCCUCCUCCCUCCCUCGGCGCAGCCCGGCCCAGGGGUCUGUCCUCCCAGGCCCAGGAAAGGAGGAAACCCACUUCCGCCGCGUCCAUGAUCUCCCGCGGCUUCUCCUGACUCUUGCGGCUGGCGCUGGCGCUGGGCAUCGGGACACGGAACUGGGCAGUGGACACCACCCUCCCUCGCAGGCUUCCAAAGUAAUUUGAAGGCCUUCCCUGACUUAAAGUGGAUGCUGCUUUGGAAAGCACUGGAAAAAUGGAUCCUGUCUUUCUUAGCCAAGGACUGGUCUCUUUUCUCCAAUGUGUCCCUAACAGAGUGGUGAGGCUGGCUCUUCCCACCAGUACAGACAGAAUUUUCAAUUCACAAAUCAUCUGAAAAACAGGAAAUUUUGGAGAAACAUGCUUAUGAUAACAAACAAGGGAUCUAUCGUGUGGUAUAGAAGUUUACACAAAGAGGCAUCUGAUUUUAAGUUUUUGUUUUUUUUUUUUUUUUUUUUUUUACCGUUCUGGGCUUCUGGCUGCAUUCUAGGAAGAUCAUUCCUUAAAAGAAAUAGCCAUAUGGCUUAUAAGGGACUAUAUCUUAAGACUAUGUGUCUUCUGCAGUUCUUUGCAUAGAGUCAACGUUGAAGGACAAGCAACUUCAAAUUUCCAAGCAACAAAAUUAUGUUCGGGUGGUUUUCUGAAAGCGAGAUCUUAAGAACCACCUGUAUCAGAAUCCCAUGAAGAGCUUGUUUAGUGUGCAAAUUUACAGAUUGUCCCCCCUCAGAAAUGCUCAUUUAGGAGUUCCUGUCCUUUGCGGGGACAUGGAUGAAGCUGGAAACCAUCAUUCUCAGCAAACUAACACAGGAACAGAAAACCAAACACUGCAUGUUCUCACUCAAAAGUGGGAGUUGAACAAUGAGAACACAUGGACACA